AACGAACGCUGGCGGCAUGCCUAACACAUGCAAGUCGAACGAGACCUUCGGGUCUAGUGGCGCACGGGUGCGUAACGCGUGGGAACCUGCCCUUAGGUUCGGAAUAACUCCCCGAAAGGGGUGCUAAUACCGGAUAAUGUCUUCGGACCAAAGAUUUAUCGCCUUUGGAUGGGCCCGCGUUGGAUUAGCUAGUUGGUAGGGUAAAAGCCUACCAAGGCGACGAUCCAUAGCUGGUCUGAGAGGAUGAUCAGCCACACUGAGACUGAGACACGGCCCAGACUCCUACGGGAGGCAGGAGUGGGGAAUAUAGCACAAUGGGCGGAGGCCUGAUCCAGCUAUGCCGGUUGAGUUAUGAAAGCCUUAGGGUAGUAAAGCGCUUUUACCCGUGAUGAUAAUGACGGUACCGAGAGAAUAAGCUCCGGCUAACUCCGUG
RNAcentral lists this ribosomal RNA (433 nucleotides) under uncultured bacterium. RNAcentral describes it as "partial 16S ribosomal RNA". It matches the Rfam family "Bacterial small subunit ribosomal RNA", at positions 29 to 507 of the family's 1533-position model. The record is from RNAcentral.